CAAUAGCGUAUAUUAAAGUUGUUGCAGUUAAAAAGCUCGUAGUUGGAUUUGUGGCGUACGGUGUGUUCCGGGCACUUGUUGUCUGAGUAACCUGCUGUUGCCAUCCUUGGGUGGAACCUGUGUGGCAUUAGGUUGUCGUGCAGGGGAUGCCCAUCAUUUACUGUGAAAAAAUUAGAGUGUUCAGAGCAGGCUUAUGCCGUUGAAUAUAUUAGCAUGGAAUAAUGAGAUAGGACUUUUUUGCUAUUUUGUUGGUUUGCGCAAAGAGGUAAUGAUUAAUAGGGACAGUUGGGGGUAUUCGUAUUCCAUUGUCAGAGGUGAAAUUCUUGGAUUUUUGGAAGACGAACUACUGCGAAAGCAUUUACCAAGGAUGUUUUCAUUAA
This 380-nucleotide ribosomal RNA is filed under the name uncultured eukaryote. Its description in RNAcentral is "partial 18S ribosomal RNA". It matches the Rfam family "Eukaryotic small subunit ribosomal RNA", at positions 592 to 976 of the family's 1831-position model. The record is from RNAcentral.